Callorhinus ursinus (northern fur seal) is the source of this 1109-nucleotide long non-coding RNA. RefSeq lists it as uncharacterized. The record is from RefSeq and is a predicted model, not a curated record. Lineage: Eukaryota; Metazoa; Chordata; Mammalia; Carnivora; Otariidae.
AUGCUGUAAAAGCCUCCCUGUCAGUCUCUGCAGCAUCUCACUCCUGGAAUCAUUAUGCCUCUCUGCUACAACUUUAUAACCCAUCUGUGCUUCUUCCAAAGCACUGACCACAGCCGCCGCCUCCUGUAGGCACUCUUAGCUCGCCUCUGCUCUCAGUCUCUCUCAGCGGUAAUGUGUCAUAUAAUUCAAAAUGACAGUGCGCUCCACUGAUCUGCCAGCUCUUCUCCACAGCCUUCGUGGGACCCCUCCCCAGACAGAAAGGAUUCCUUCCCUCUUGGCCUCCGGUUGGGCACAGGGGCUGCCCUGGGGAGUGGAAGGGGCCACGGACUUCAGAGUUAGCAAGCUCUGCAUCCCCACCACCUUGCUGUGAAUACCUGGCAACCUCUCUGAGCCUCGGUUUCCUUAUCCGUAAAAGGAACUAAUUCCUCCCUGAUUUGCAGGGUUCUUUUGAAGAUUAAGCACCAUGAAAUGCACAACAUCUGACCGACAGAGAGAUUCAAAGAAGAGCUGUGAAACGGUUUGUUGCACUUGUUUUCCCGUCCCCUCUGCUAGAGUCUAAGUUUCUGGAUGAUGGUGACGGCGCCUGAUUCACCCACCUUUACAAGCCCAGCACCCAGCACCAUGGAGAGCACAUUCUUUGAGUCACUGAAUAACGAUUACUUCAAACAAGAUCAUAGUUUAAACUCUACAGAAAGAGUUGUACACUGAGGGUGAUAACCGUCCUGUCAAAACAGUUGGCGUACUUCCCCCGGGGACAAACUACUUGAAAGAAAAAUAAAGAGAAAGAAAGACUCCUCACAUGCAAGGACGACAGAGCAGGUCAAGGGACCCCGAGCUGAGCAGAGUGGCCAGGUGACAGCUCCCCAAGCCGGUGCCACUGAGGAAGGAACAGCACUGCGCAAAAGGCGUGCACAUCGAAAGGGAGGAAAUCAUUUGUUUUUGUGUAACUGGGAUCCUGAUUUGUAAAGUAAUGCCCACCUAGCGAUCUGAAACCAAUUACUUCUUAGAAAAACUAGCACAGAGCAAACAGCUACUGGGAGGAGACCUCAGACUCACGUCCUAAUGAAACACUUGGCCUUCUCAUUAAAAAUAAAUGUCUACAUUGCUUC